This 63-nucleotide transfer RNA is filed under the name Nymphon gracile. RNAcentral's name for it is "tRNA-Leu". Lineage: Eukaryota; Metazoa; Arthropoda; Pycnogonida; Pantopoda; Nymphonidae. The record is from RNAcentral.
AUCAAUGGAACAUGUAAUAUGUAUUAAUUUUAAGCAUUAAAAAAAGAAUUUUUCUCUUUGAUA